Oceanobacillus oncorhynchi is the source of this 103-nucleotide regulatory RNA element. It matches the Rfam family "TPP riboswitch aptamer (THI element)". Rfam says of the family: Vitamin B(1) in its active form thiamin pyrophosphate (TPP) is an essential coenzyme that is synthesised by coupling of pyrimidine and thiazole moieties in bacteria. The previously detected thiamin-regulatory element, thi box was extended, resulting in a new, highly conserved RNA secondary structure, the THI element, which is widely distributed in eubacteria and also occurs in some archaea. Analysis of operon structures identified a large number of new candidate thiamin-regulated genes, mostly transporters, in various prokaryotic organisms. The record is from Rfam. NCBI's taxonomy places the organism in Bacteria, Bacillati, Bacillota, Bacilli, Caryophanales, Bacillaceae.
AUUUUCUGCUAGGGGCGCCGUAACGGCUGAGAUAAAUGUAUAUUUAGCACCCUUAGAACCUGAUCUGGUUAAGGCCAGCGGAGGGAAGUAGAAUAAGCAGACA